GGGUAUAGCUCAGUGGUAGAGCACGUGCUUAGCAUGCACGAGGUCCUGGGUUCAAUCCCCAGUACAGCCA
Molecule: transfer RNA, 70 nt
Filed under: Camelus bactrianus (Bactrian camel)
Lineage: Eukaryota; Metazoa; Chordata; Mammalia; Artiodactyla; Camelidae
Also listed under: 2 other names
Rfam family: tRNA
About the family: Transfer RNA (tRNA) molecules are approximately 80 nucleotides in length. Their secondary structure includes four short double-helical elements and three loops (D, anti-codon, and T loops).
Source: Rfam by way of RNAcentral